Molecule: ribosomal RNA, 118 nt
Filed under: Capsicum annuum
Lineage: Eukaryota; Viridiplantae; Streptophyta; Magnoliopsida; Solanales; Solanaceae
Source: RNAcentral
UGAUGUGAUCAUGCCAAUACUAACACAUCGAAUCUCAUCAAAACUUUGAAGUUAAGAGUGCUUGUGCGAGAGUAGUAUGAGGAUGCCGACUCCUUCAGAAGUCCUCAUAUUGCAUCCU